RNAcentral lists this long non-coding RNA (734 nucleotides) under Homo sapiens (human). RNAcentral's name for it is "HSALNT0229323". Lineage: Eukaryota; Metazoa; Chordata; Mammalia; Primates; Hominidae. The record is from RNAcentral.
CCAGGGUGGAGUGCAGUAGUGUAAUCAUAGCUCACUACAGCCUCGCUAACUCCUGGGCUCAAGCGAUCCUCCCACCUAAAGUUCCCGAGUAGCUGGGACUACAGGUGUGAGCCACCACGCCCAGACAAUAAGAACUUUUUGAAGAGUCCAAACUUUAGGGUCCCCACCUUGUUACUUGCAAUGAAACGGACACAGUGGAAGACAGCUUGGAGUAGGAAAAGGACUGAAGACUGCAGCAGCCAGGUGAACUUCUAUUCGUCCAUCAAGACCCAACCCAAAGAAACCCACUUGAAGCCAGGCGGGAGGGCUCACGCCUGUAAUCCCAGCACUUUGGGAGGCCGAGGCUGGCGGAUCACCUGAGGUCGGGAGUUCAAGACCAGCCUGGCCACUAUGGUGAAACUCCGUUUCUACUAAAAAUAAAAAAAAUAGCCGGGCAUCAUGGUGGGUGCCUGUAGUCCCAGCUACUCGAGAGGCUGAGGCAGGAUAAUCGUUUGAACCCGGGAGGCGGAAGUUGCAGUGAGCUGAGAUUGCACCAUUGCACUCCAGCCUGGGCGACAAAGCGAGACUCCGUCUCAAACAACAACAACAACAAACUACACUCUAGUCUGGGCGACAGAGCAAGACCCUGUCUUAAAAACAAACAAACAAACAAGGAAACCCCAUUUGUAACUGCCACUAAUUGGACUAUACUUCUGGUGGGCCAUCUUCAAGCUUCGGGCUUGAAUAAACCCUAU